RNAcentral lists this ribosomal RNA (1501 nucleotides) under uncultured bacterium. Its description in RNAcentral is "bacterial SSU rRNA". It matches the Rfam family "Bacterial small subunit ribosomal RNA". The record is from RNAcentral.
AGAGUUUGAUCCUGGCUCAGGAUGAACGCUGGCGGCGUGCCUAAUACAUGCAAGUCGAACGAAGAGAGAAGCUUGCUUCUCUUUUAGUGGCGAACGGGUGACGAACGGGUGAAUAAUCCAUAAGCAACCUACCCAUUCGACCGGGAUAACAGUUGGAAACGAUAGCUAAUACCGGAUAGGUUAAUUGAAGGCAUCUUCGAUUAAUUAAAGUAGGUUUUCUACACAAAUGGAUGGGCUUAUGGCGCAUUAGUUAGUUGGCGGGGUAACGGCCCACCAAGACGAUGAUGCGUAGCCGACCUGAGAGGGUGACCGGCCACACUGGGACUGAGACACGGCCCAGACUCCUACGGGAGGCAGCAGUAGGGAAUUUUCGGCAAUGGGCGCAAGCCUGACCGAGCAACGCCGCGUGAGUGAAGAAGGCCUUCGGGUUGUAAAGCUCUGUUGUAAGGGAAGAAUGGCCAAGAGAGGGAAUGCUCUUGGAGUGACGGUACCUUACCAGAAAGCCACGGCUAACUACGUGCCAGCAGCCGCGGUAAUACGUAGGUGGCAAGCGUUAUCCGGAAUUAUUGGGCGUAAAGGGAGCGUAGGCGGUUUGAUAAGUCUGGUGUGAAAUGCUAUAGCUUAACUAUUGUGAGCCUUUGAAACUGGUAGAGUUGAGUACAAAGGAGGUAAGCGGAAUUCCCGGUGUAGCGGUGAAAUGCGUAGAUAUAUGGAGGAACACCAGUGGCGAAGGCGACUUCCUGGCCUGUAACUGACGCUGAGGCUCGAAAGCGUGGGGAGCAAAUAGGAUUAGAUACCCUAGUAGUCCACGCUGUAAACGAUGAUUACUAGGUGUCGCGGAGAAAACUCUGCUGCAGUUAACGCAAUAAGUAUUCCGCCUGGGGAGUAUGCACGCAAGUGUGAAACUCAAAGGAAUUGACGGGGGCCCGCACAAGCGGUGGAGUAUGUGGUUUAAUUCGAAGCAACGCGAAGAACCUUACCAAGUCUUGACAUACCGUGCAAAACCCUGGAGACAGGGGAAUAGUUAUGGCGGAUACAGGUGGUGCAUGGUUGUCGUCAGCUCGUGUCGUGAGAUGUUGGGUUAAGUCCCGCAACGAGCGCAACCCUUACUGUUAGUUGCCAGCAUUAAGUUGGGGACUCUAGGGAGACUGCCGGGGUUAACUCGGAGGAAGGUGGGGACGACGUCAAGUCCUCAUGGCCCUUAUGACCAGGGCUACAAACGUGAUACAAUGGCGUAUACAAAGGGAUGCGAAGUGGCGACAUGGAGCAAACCUCACAAAGUACGUCUCAGUUCAGAUUGAAGUCUGCAACUCGACUUCAUGAAGGCGGAAUCGCUAGUAGUCGCGUAACAGCAUGACGUGGUGAAUACGUUCUCGGGGUUUGUACACACCGCCCGUCAAACCAUGGGAGUUGGGAGCGCCCGAAGCCGGUAUCCUAACCGUAAGGAGGGAGCCGUCGAAGGUGAGAUCAAUGACUGGGGUGAAGUCGUAACAAGGUAACC